This 399-nucleotide ribosomal RNA is filed under the name Streptomyces sp. RNAcentral's name for it is "bacterial SSU rRNA". It matches the Rfam family "Bacterial small subunit ribosomal RNA", at positions 781 to 1172 of the family's 1533-position model. The record is from RNAcentral. Lineage: Bacteria; Bacillati; Actinomycetota; Actinomycetes; Kitasatosporales; Streptomycetaceae.
GAUACCCUGGUAGUCCACGCCGUAAACGGUGGGAACUAGGUGUUGGCGACAUUCCACGUCGUCGGUGCCGCAGCUAACGCAUUAAGUUCCCCGCCUGGGGAGUACGGCCGCAAGGCUAAAACUCAAAGGAAUUGACGGGGGCCCGCACAAGCAGCGGAGCAUGUGGUUUAAUUCGACGCAACGCGAAGAACCUUACCAAGGCUUGACAUACACCGGAAAGCAUUAGAGAUAGUGCCCCCCUUGUGGUCGGUGUACAGGUGGUGCACGGCUGUCGUCAGCUCGUGUCGUGAGAUGUUGGGUUAAGUCCCGCAACGAGCGCAACCCUUGUUCUGUGUUGCCAGCACACCCUUCGGGGUGAUGGGGACUCACAGGAGACCGCCGGGGUCAACUCGGAGGAAG